RNAcentral lists this ribosomal RNA (253 nucleotides) under uncultured bacterium. Its description in RNAcentral is "partial 16S ribosomal RNA". It matches the Rfam family "Bacterial small subunit ribosomal RNA", at positions 524 to 776 of the family's 1533-position model. The record is from RNAcentral.
UACAGAGGGUGCAAACGUUGCUCGGAAUUAUUGGGCGUAAAGCGCAUGUAGGCGGCACGGUAAGUUCGUUGUGAAAGCCCUUGGCUCAACCAAGGAAGUGCAACGAAAACUGCCGAGCUCGAGUUCUGAAGAGGGUCGCGGAAUGGCCAGUGUAGAGGUGAAAUUCGUAGAUAUUGGCUAGAACACCAGUGGCGAAGGCGGCGACCUGGGAAGAUACUGACGCUGAGAUGCGAAAGCGUGGGGAGCAAACAGG